UAUCUUCCUGGAACAUCUUGAAGCUAUCUCGCCUUGUGCAAACACCCUGCAGUAGUGACUGCACCACCCACGCCCCGAAGAGAAACUUCCCGCCUGACUUCCCUAUCCCCAGCAUAUAAAUACCCCAGUGAGAACAAUAAAAAUUUGCAGCUUGAUCAGAACUCCUGUCUUGCUGUCACUCCUCCUGUCUCUUGUCCCUUCAUUCCUUCCCGCCUAGGUUUGCCACCCUCGUUGAUGUCCUGCAGGUCGGGACAUUUGGCGCCCAGCGUGUACUCAAGCCUUUGACUGAGGGGGGAACACCGUCCUCCGGGGGAGACUUGACCAAGCGGAGUUCGCGAUCGCCUCGGCAGACACCACUGAGAGACAGAUCCAGAUCCAGGAGGAGAGUGGGGACGACGCACGGUGAGUGACCCACCAUGGGACAAGCAGUCUCGUCACAUGAUUUGUUUUUGUCAGGCCUCAAGGAGGCCCUCAAGACGGUGGGGGGGGGGGCGUGUUAAGAAAAAGGACUUAAAAUUAUUCUUUUCAUACGUAGAAGAUUUGUGUCCAUAGUUUCCCCUUGAAGGGACCAUUGAUGGUAAAAGAUGGCUUAGAGUAGGAGACUGUUUAAAAGAUUAUUAUGAAUCCUUUGGCCCAGAAAAGGUGCCUGUUACCACCUUUUCUUACUGGAACUUAAUUAAUGAAAUUCUUAAAAGUUCACCCUUUGACAAUGGUACCUUAAAACUUGUUAGGAUUGGGGAAGAGGCUAUGCAAAAGACCUCUUGUCCCCCCUCGGCAUGCCCUUCAGUUAGUAUAGACAUAGAUCCUUCUCAGUCUCCCCGGGACCCUGGGAACCUUCCUGGUCCCCCUCAAAAUCCCACCCUAAUAAAUAAGGCCCCAAAGGUUGCCAACCACCUUUAUCCAGUUUUAAAUCCUGGAGACACAUUGACCCCUGAGGAGGAGGCUACCUUGGAGGGGAAGCAGCUCGCUACCAUUCAAAAGACCUGCCACCUCUCAGGACCCUGCCACAGCCUAUAGGACUUACAAAUCCACCUCCCUCCUAUAUCCCUCCUGCCUUUUGUGCUCCGGCCCUCCAGGGGCCUACUGCCCCCCCCCCCCAUAUUUUUUCUCCACUUCCCUUACCUAACCUGGCUCCCUUGUGCGAGUCUCUCCAACAUAGACGGGAACAGAUCCAACUUUUAAAAGAAUUAAGAUCCCUUGACUCUGAGCUUCGCUCAUUAGCCUUAGGUACAGAGUCAACACAAGCUGGCCCAAGGCGGCCUAAUACAAAGGCUAAGCCUCCCUUCUCAGUCACCCACAGUCAGGCAGAUAAACCCGCCCAGACUGAGGACAAGGACUUAGAGGAGGAUGAAGAGGAGGAAGCGGGGGAAGGACAAGAGAAAGACCAAGACUCAGAGGAUGAGGAACCCAUCUCUAGGCAGGAAGGAACCCAGGGUGCCUACAAGAAAUUAAGCCUGAGUUUUCUUGAAAAACUUAAAAAGGCUUGUGCUCACUAUGGCCCCACUGCGCCUUAUACAUUGGCUUUAUUAGAAAGCCAAAGUGCACAAUGGCUUACUCCUAAUGAUUGGAAAUUCUUGGCUCAAGCUACCCUCAGUGCCGGAGACUUCCUGUUAUGGAAUGCAGAUUUUAAAGAGCACCGUCGGGAAACUGCUCAAAAAAAUUUAACAAAGGCCUCCUCUAAAUCCUGGACUUAUGUUAAGCUAGUGGGCAAUGCGCCUUUUGACACUAACCCUAAACAGGCGCGUUUCCCUGCUGGACUUUUGGCGCAGAUUCAGACCGUUGGCUUACAUGCUUGGAGACGCCUCCCUCAAAAGGGCUCAGCCACCACUUCCCUGGCAAAAAUUCGACAAGCGCCUGACGAGCCUUAUGGUGACUUUGUUGCACAGCUCAACCUAGCCGCGGAACGCCUGCUUGGACCAAGUGAAAGCAAAAGCACCUUUGUAAAACAUCUUGCCUUUGAAAAUGCCAACCCGGCAUGUCAGGAUGUUCUUCGACCACAUAAGGAUAAAGGGGAACUUUCUGACUUUAUUAGACUCUGUGCCGGGGUGGGAGCAGCCCAUGCCAUGGGUCUCGCCAUAGGUGCUGCCUUUACCAAGGCCUUUCGCAAUCCUGGCUCACAUACUUGCUUUACUUGUAAGCAACCUGGCCAUUUUGCACGCGAGUGUCCAACAGGCAAACAGAGCCUAGGGAUAACGUCUCCUCAAACUGGGGCUAAACCACCUCCAACCACCCUUUGCCCUAGAUGUGGUAAAGGUCGUCACUGGGCCAAUGAGUGUAGAUCUAAGACAAAUGCCCUUGGACAGCCUAUUUCUUCCCGCUUCUCGGGAAACUCCUUUCGGGGCCAGCCCCUGGCCCCGACCUCCCCCAAGACAAACCCAGGGGCAAUAAGGUUUGUUCCCUCCCAAACUCCCAACCUACCUCAAAAUCCUCCUCCACAAUUGCCUCCCUCCAACGAGCCACCCCAGGCAGCGCAGGACUGGACCUCUGUGCCGCCACCAAUACAAUAUUAGACUCCAUGCAAGGGCCCCAAAUAAUACCUACUGGGAUUAUGGGUCCCCCUCCAUCUCAUAUGUGUGCCCUUAUUCUUGGAAGAGCCUCUGCUACCUUACAAGGUGUUCAGGUCUUCCCUGGCAUUAUUGAUAAUGAUUUCACUGGAGAGAUACAAAUACUAGCCACAGCUAUUAAUGGAGUUGCGGCCAUCCCAGCAGGAACAAGAGUUGCACAAUUAAUACUCCUUCCCCUAAACUCAGGAGGCACUUCCACCACCCAGACCCUACCUCGGGGGGACUGCCUCCUUGGGCUCCUCUGAUGUGUAUUAGGUUCAGCCUAUUUCUCACAAUAGACCCACCCUUACCCUACUUAUUGAAGGAAAGGAAUUCCAAGGAAUCCUAGACACUGGUGUGGAUGCCACAGUUAUCUCUCAAAAACACUGGCCAUCAGGUUGGCCCCUCACCUCAUCUUUGACUGACCUUAAAGGAAUUAGGACAGUCAAAAAAUCCUCUAGUCAGCUCUAGGACUCUUAAUUGGGCUGAUGAAGAAGGCAAUAAGGUAAUGGUCACUCCUUUCAUUGUUCCUGACCUUCCUGUUAACCUAUGGGGCCGAGAUAUUUUGAGUCAAAUGGAAGUUAUUCUUGCCAGCCCCAACUCCCUAGUGACUCAUCAAAUGCUUCAUAUGGAUUUUGUCCCUGGUACAGGCCUUGGGAGACUGAGACAAGGAUUAGUUGAAUCCAUACCACCCACACAAAAAACAGAUAAACAUGGACUUGGGUAUUCGGAUUUUUAGUGACCCUCCUGUACCCCAUGCAGACAAGAUCAUUUGGGAAACUCAGACUCCUGUGUGGGUGGAUCAGUGGCCCCUUACCCAAGAAAAAUUGGAGGCUGCCUCUAUGUUAGUACAGGAACAGCUGGCAGCUGGCCAUGUAGAACCCUCAGCUUCACCAUGGAAUACUCCUAUUUUUGUUAUUAAGAAAAAAUCAGGCAAAUGGCGCCUGUUACAAGAUUUGCGCGCCAUUAAUAAAGUUAUGCGUCCAAUGGGAGCCCUACAACCAGGCAUUCCUACACCAGUGGCUAUUCCCAAAAACUAUUGGAAAAUGGUUAUUGACCUAAAAGAUUGCUUUUUUACCAUUCCUUUACAUCCCGAGGAUAGACCCUAUUUUGCCUUUAGUCUCCCUCGCAUUAAUUUUCAGGGCCCUAUGCAGAGAUUUCAAUGGAAGGUUCUUCCCCAAGGUAUGGCCAACAGCCCUAGUCUUUGCCAAAAAUAUGUCACUCAAGCAGUAGACCCUGUGAGAGAGCAAUGGCCACAAAUUUAUAUUUUACAUUAUAUGGAUGAUUUGUUAAUCGCUGCACCUAAUACCCAUGAUCUUAAUAGUUGUUACUUGGACCUUUACAAAGCUCUCACUGCCUUGGGACUACAGAUAGCUCCUGACAAGGUUCAAAUACAGGACCCUUAUACCUAUUUGGGCCUUAAACUUCAAGAUAAUCAGAUCCAAAUUCCUAAAAUACAACUACGUGUGGACCAUCUUCACACCCUUAAUGAUUUUCAAAAAUUACUGGGGGAUAUUCAAUGGCUAAGACCAUAUUUAAAAUUACCCACUUGUGUACUUUUGCCCCUUAAUGAUAUCUUGAGAGGCGAUUCCCACCCCUCCUCCCCUCGGAAGCUUACUCCCGAGGCACGACAGACAUUAAACCAAGUCACAGAAGCCAUUGCCCAACAGUUUGUUACGCAAAUUUCUUAUAACCUUCCUUUGGUUUUGGUUAUUUUACACACUCCUCAUACACCCACAGGAAUAUUCUGGCAGCGGGAUCCACAUUUUAAAAAUGAAGGCUGGGGGCUGGGGAUGUGGCUCAAGCAGUAGCGCGCUUGCCUGGCAUGCGUGCGGCCCAGGUUUGAUCCUUAGCACCACAUACAAAGAUGUUGUGUCCGCUGAAAACUAAAAAAUAAAUAUUAAAAAUUCUCUCCCUCUCUUAAAAAAUAAAUAAAUAAACCCUCUUAUUAAAAAAAAAAAUAAAAAUAAAAAUAAAGGCUGCCCCUUGCUUUGGGUCCAUUUACCCACCACAUCCUCCAAGGUUAUUACUGUUUAUCCUGCUCAGGUAGCUUCUAUUAUUAUUAAAGGUCGCUUGCUCUCUCAACAACAUUUUGGCAAAGACCCUGAUAGUAUUUUAAUUCCAUACACUAAGGACCAAACCCAAUUUUUAUUACAGACAGGGGAUGAAUGGGGUAUUGCCCUAUCAGGCUUUUUGGGAACAAUUGAUAACCACCUCCCCAAUGACCCCCUUUUACAUUUUGCCCAAUUACAUCCAUUUAUUUUUCCCAGAAUUACUCAAAAAGCUCCCAUUCCUCAAGCCCUUACCGUCUUUAUUUUUAUUUAUUUUUUAUUUUUUUAUAAUUUUAAUAUUUAUUCUUUUUUAGUUUUCGGCAGACACAACAUCUUUGUUUGUAAGUGAUGCUGAGGAUCGAACCCGGGCCACAUGCAUGCCAGGCGAGCACGCUACCGCUUGAGCCACAUCCCCAGCCCAGCCCUUACUGUCUUUACAGACGGUUCCAGUAAUGGCCGUGUGGUCUUUGUUGUCAAUGACCAGCCCACCACCUUGGAUACUGCCUAUCAGUCAGCACAGCUUGUGGAAUUGUUUGCCAUAACACAAGUUUUUAUAACAUUUUUUGACAAACCUAUUAAUAUUUAUACAGACAGUGCCUACAUUGCCCACUCUGUGCCCCUGCUGGAGAUUUCACCUGCCAUUAAGGCCUCUUCCAAUGCGGCCUUUUUGUUUCACCAACUUCAACAGCUGAUUCAGGCCAGGCAACACCCAUUUUUCUUGGGGCACAUCAGGGCACACUCUAAUCUUCCCGGCCCUCUAACACAAGGUAAUGCCCAAGCUGAUGCGGUAACUCGUUCCAUCUUUCCAAUUUUUGUUGGCUCCAUUCAAAAGGCUACAAAAUUACAUAAUCUUCACCAUCUAAAUUCCCAGAGCCUUCGAUCACUUUGUAAGAUUACCAGGCAACAGGCACGAGAAAUAGUAAAAGCAUGUCCUGCUUGCGCUGUCUCCCUCCCCAUUCAACACCUAGGAGUUAACCCCCGAGGAUUGCUGCCCAAUCAGAUUUGGCAAAUGGAUGUUACUCAUUUUCCUGAGUUUGGAAAAACCAAGUAUAUACAUGUUUCCAUAGAUACCUUUAGUGGCUUUAUCUUUGCAUCACCACAUUCCGGAGAGGCUACCAAAGAUGCCCUUUCUCAUCUUGUCUCAGCCUUCUCCGUAAUGGGCAAACCAACACAUAUCAAAACAGAUAAUGGCCCUGCAUAUAUCAGUGCCAAGUUUAAACAGUUCUGUGCUACCUUACAAAUUUGUCACACUACUGGGAUUCCAUACAACCCUCAGGGACAAGGCACUGUGGAAUGUGCCCACCUUACCUUAAAGACCUGGCUGACUCGCCUUAAGGCUUCUGCCCUUGUAUUUACCACCCCCAGAGAUCGCCUCAGCCAUGCGCUGUUUGCCCUUAAUUUUCUUACCCUAGACAGUGAAGGCCAUUCGGCCGCAGACAGACACUGGCAUCCCUCGUCCAAUUCUGUUCGCCCACCUGUUAUGUGGCGUGAUCCCCUUACAAAUAAAUGGAAAGGACCAGAUCCUGUCCUCAUCUGGGGACGAGGCUCAGCUUGUGUUUUGGAUCAAGAGCAAGCGGCCCCAAGAUGGUUGCCAGAACGUUUGGUUAAACAGGUCAAUGACUUACCCCAACCCAGUGAUGGAAACCCUCCCCCUGAGGACGAAUUUUCCUCUUUUUCAGAUGCAACCAACAAUUGGUGUGAGGAUCCUGCUUCAGGUACUUCUCUUGAACAGGUUUGUAUACGGAGGCCUUGACCCUCCACCUUCCAAUAUUUUGGAGCACCUUUUUGGCUCCCCCUGUGAAUGCAAGGGAGGAUAUUGGAAUCAGGCUCCCACCAGUUAUACCCAGACUGCUGACUGCACGACUAAGGUGGCUUACCUCCGUGCCUAGGUUGACAAUAGACUCGGAGGGGUUCACCAGCCUAAAUGGGUAUGUGUUAACAAGCCAAAAAUUAUUUCCUCUAGUACUCUCCAAAAUUGUUCUGCAACUUGUUCAUAUACCACGGUGAUGCAUGCCUCUUGUUAUGAGUCAGCCUCAAUUUGUGUUAAUAAGCAGGGAAUACAACAUUUUGAAGCCAUCUUAGCUAAAACUCGUGCAGCAGGGGGGACCACUACUCAUUAUACCCCCAUUCUCUUCAACUGGGGAGGAGAAGGCAGAUACACCAAAUUGCAGUUGGCUGGAUGCCAAGGCACUGUUGGUAAACCAUCCUGCUGGCCUGCUAAGGCCCCUACGGGGGUCUCUGAUGGUGGAGGACCCACUGAUGCUGUUAAGCAUCUUCAGAUAAUUAAGCUUUUAAAAAACCCAAAUCCCUGAGCUUACAUAUCAUCCUUUAAUGCUGCCUAAAUCCCAACUCCCAGAUUUAGAUACUAAUACCUUGGAUAUCUUGGAGACUACCUUUUCCUUGCUUAAUGAUUCCAACCCUCACCUUGCUAGUGAUUGCUGGCUUUGCAUGACAACAGGGGCGAUAAUGCCCAUGGCAGUUCAUGUUAAUUCUACCAUAAAUGGUGAUGAUACCUGUCAACCCGGGCUUCCUUUUAGAGUACAGCCUAUGGAUACCCUUACAUUAUGUCUUUUAGGCAUGAUGCAGAAUAACUCCUAUGAUAUUGAUGUUGGGGUUACUUCUUUUGGAAAUUGCUCAUCAGUACAAAACUAUUCCUCACCCACCCCACCUCUUUGUCCCCCCAGUGGCACGGUUUUUAUGUGUGGAGGAAACUUAGCCUUCCCCAGGCUUCCAGCCAAUUGGACCGGUGGCUGUGUUCUUGCCUUAUUGCUCCCUGAUAUAACUGUUGUCUCAGGAGAUGAGACUCUACCCAUUCCUAGCCUAGACACCCUGGUAAAAAGACACAGGCGGGCCAUACAAGCCUUACCGCUCCUUGCCAGCCUUGGAAUAGCAACAGCCGUAGGCACAGGUACCGCUGGCUUAGGCACGGCUAUACACUCUUACCAUCGCCUGUCUCAACAACUUAUAGAUGAUGUACAAACUCUAUCAGGAACCAUUAAAGAUCUACAGGACCAAAUAGAUUCUCUGGCAGAGGUGGUCCUUCAGAACAGACGAGGCUUAGAUCUACUGACAGCUAACCAGGGAGGUAUUUGCCUGGCCUUAGGGGAACGAUGCUGCUUUUAGGCCAAUAAAUCAGGCAUGGUACGCACUAAAAUUAAGCAGCUUCAGGAAGACCUAGAAAAGAGACGAUGGGAGCUGUUUGAAAAUCCACUCUGGACAGGGCUUAAUGGAUUUUUACCCUACCUUCUUCCCCUAUUGGGCCCUUUAUUGGGUCUACUUUUGAAGAUCACCAUAGGACCCUGCAUUAUAAACAGGCUGGUACAAUUUAUUAAGGAACAGAUUAAUAUCUUGGCCUCUAAGCCCAUACAGGUCCAUUAUCAUCAUCUGGAAAUGGAGGACCGCACCCCCGAGGUCUAUCUAUCAAUGGAAAACCGCUAAUGUCCCAUCUGGGUCCUAAAAAUUUUCCCCUGACACCCUCUCUUCUUGUACAAAAAUUUCUGACUGCCCAUCGCCCUUGUCCUAAGGGCCCUCUCCCUCUGGACCCCUCCGCUUGGGGGAGGACGCAUCCAAGGACAGAGGUCACAAGGCCUUGACAAUUGAGGGUGCAGGCAGGACUGCAGGAGGAUGGAUCCAAGGAUCCCUAAACCCAAGACCUCUGAAUGGCACGCCCUGGUGCAUGGCGGUUGGCAUGCUUCUUAAAUCCGUCUCCUCAUAAAACAUGCCGAGGACACUCUCCUGACGCCCAGCAAGGACGCUCGAUUAAGUCAGGACAUUAAACUCUCCCUUUAGAGGAACAGGGCCUCUGUCAUCCCCUCUUAUAAAGCCGAUGCACCUUAGUCAUAUUCUGUAUAAGAAUAAGGGGGAAAUGUCAGGGGCUACAAAAAGAAGCUCCCUUUGUGAACUGUUUGGCCGUUACUUGACCCUGCCCUGGAACAUUUUUUCGGUUACUUAUCUUCCUGGAACAUCUUGAAGCUGUCUCGCCUUGUGCAAACACCCUGCAGUAGUGACUGCACCACCCACGCCCCCGAAGAGAAACUUCCCGCCUGACUUCCCUAUCCCCAGCAUAUAAAUACCCCAAUGAGAACAAUAAAAAUUUGCAGCUUGAUCAGAACUCCUGUCUUGCUGUCACUCCUCGUGUCUCUUGUCCCUUCAUUCCCUCCUGCCUAGGUUCGCCG
Molecule: long non-coding RNA, 8769 nt
Filed under: Marmota monax (woodchuck)
Lineage: Eukaryota; Metazoa; Chordata; Mammalia; Rodentia; Sciuridae
Source: RNAcentral